RNAcentral lists this ribosomal RNA (253 nucleotides) under uncultured bacterium. Its description in RNAcentral is "partial 16S ribosomal RNA". It matches the Rfam family "Bacterial small subunit ribosomal RNA", at positions 524 to 776 of the family's 1533-position model. The record is from RNAcentral.
GACGUAGGGCGCGAGCGUUGUCCGGAUUUAUUGGGCGUAAAGAGCUCGUAGGCGGUCUGUUGCGUCCGCUGUGAAAACUCGGGGCUUAACCCCGAGCCUGCAGUGGAUACGGGCAGACUAGAGGUAGGUAGGGGAGAAUGGAAUUCCCGGUGUAGCGGUGAAAUGCGCAGAUAUCGGGAGGAACACCGGUGGCGAAGGCGGUUCUCUGGGCCUUACCUGACGCUGAGGAGCAAAAGCGUGGGGAGCGAACAGG